Molecule: long non-coding RNA, 4852 nt
Filed under: Sus scrofa (pig)
Lineage: Eukaryota; Metazoa; Chordata; Mammalia; Artiodactyla; Suidae
Description: lncRNA (ENSSSCG00060043099.1)
Source: RNAcentral
ACUCGCGCUCCGUGCCUGCGGCUGCGCUGCUCUGUCCCGGAGCCGGGGACUUCCCGCCGGACCUCCUCCGGCCGCUCCUCCCCGAGGACCACCCCUCCCCCUCCCCGCCCACCUAACCCCCAGCGAAAGGCUCGCGCGGCCGGACAUUGUGGGUGUGCGUGCUGAAUUUCUCCCGGAUGCUCCCCGACUAACAUGGAUGUCCCACCAUCCCUUGCAGUGGAAGGUUGCUCCUUGGCGCAGUGAGUGAAGAACAUGCAGCGAUUGCUAAUGGGUUUGGGAAGCGGAGACUCCUUCCUCUCUCUGUGACCAUGCCGUGAUCGCGUCUGCGGCCACCACUCGACGCAUCCUCAUUCCGACCCGUACCGGGAGCCUAACGCUAGAUCGGGGAAGUGGGUGCCGCGCGUGUGUACACAGAAACACCAUGAAGAUUAUUUCCCCGAUUCUAAGUAAUCCAGUCUUCAAGCGCACCAUUAAACUCCUGCUCUGCUUACUGUGGAUUGGAUAUUCUCAAGGAACCACGCAUGUAUUAAGAUUUGGUAAGAUUCCCUAUCCCUCUUCUUCGCCUGGUAUCCGGCUCAGAGGCAGCCGGAUGUAAACAGGCGUGUUCGCUCUCCCGGCGGGUGGGCUCAGUGCAUUUCGACCUGUUCGCUGCUCCAUCGCCUUCCGGGAUUUUAAAGGACCCCACCUGUGCUUUCCAUUUCAUUCUCCCCCCCCCCACCUUUUAUUAAAAAAAAAAUUAGCCGCGGGAGGAUGAGGGGAGUGCCAGUGCGGUAGUGGUCGCGGCGUUACCUCCCCGGGGUCACAGAGACGGUAGUGACGCUGGGGUACAGUCGCCGCUGCUGCGCCUGCCUGUCUCCCCGAGAUCCUUCGGUGCUUGGCCGGCUGCUCCUUCCACGCGAGCGAGCGCGCCAGGGCUACACGCCUCUCAGAUCGCCCCGCUGAUGAGUUAAUAUCUGGUAACUCUUUAGCAAGUUGGCCUCUGUUCGCUUCUGCCUGGGACCUGGACAGGUCCGCAAGUGAAAGGAGCAGAGCCUUUUGAUUUCUUUUGUUAUCAGAGAGCUUUUUCGGUUAAUUUCACCGCUUUUCCAAUCCCUGGUGUCUCUGAAGGGGCUUAGAGCUUUUAAAAAUAUUGUAAGGUUGAAGGCUCUACUUAACAAGGUUAAGCUGCUGCUUAGCUGAAGUGAAGGCAUCCUAAGGAAGGGUUUUUAACUUGUGAGUCCUCUUCUCACAGCUUUCUUACUGGGCGUCCUGGACUAAUAAAUGAUGAACAGUGGUAGUUGGGGCAGAGGGUAUCUGUGUUUGGGAGUUUAAGACUGUGUCUUUAUUUCACUUGUUUAUAUAUGUAUAUGCACACUUAUGUAUUAAAGGACUUUAUUGUUUGCCCAAGAAAUCAGAUUUCCUUAGAGCUCAAAGGAAAAUCUAAAUGUGAGACUUUGGGUGGAAACGCUGGUCAGAAGAUUUGCUUGGAGGAAAUGAAGCAUGGGCAAUGGUUCAGCUGCUCUCAAUGGCCAAUGAUGUUUCAGAAGGAGAACUAGUCAGAGAAAGUUCCCUUAAGUAGAUAAGAGGUAGAGAGGAGAAAGCCAGCAGGGUAAACGCUCCCACUAUGGGUGACUCCUUUGACAGUCAAGUGGAUUUAGCCCAAAGAGUGCAGGAAACCCUAUAAUCCUGAGUAUGUGUCUUUGGGAUAAUAGGAGAGACAUUAAGUAACUCAGGCAAAUUGAAAUCAGAGGAUGAGUGCCUGCACUUCCUAUUAGGUCAACACCAUCUCCUCUCUUUUCCCAUAUGUUUUUUUCUAUAAUGAUAAAAUUUGUCAUCUGUCUCAGGCUUUGUGGUACCAGGGUAGCAAUGCUUUCCUAUACUAAAAAGGGAGUCCAACCUUUCCUCCCCCACCCACACAUAGACACCGGGAGUCCAGAAGACUGGUAAUGACAAAAAAACCAAUGAGUUAUAACUGGAUUCCUCCUGUAAUAGUUUUCCUGCUUUCUUCAUGCCUUUAGAUGGUACUUAAGCACGUUGCUCUUGGCAACAAGCAUCCACAGAAAUGCUUGUUUCUUAGGAUGAGAUUAAACAGGUUCCUUUAUCACUGGAAAUGUUUGUGUUCAGCUGUUCUGCUUCAAGCAUGGUAAGUGAUACAGUUUGGUAGUUUUGCAGAAUAUUUUGAGUAAUACAACCUACUUAUUUGGAAUACUGGAGGUAUCUUCUAAAGUGUGUUUGUGAAUCAGUGUUUGAGGACUGGAUGGGAAAAAAAAAAAAAGCCUAGGAGCCAGAAUACCACUAAUACUCUAAAGAUUUAAUUAUUGCUUCUCUGGUCUUGCAGCAUAAUAUUUGCUGAAUCAUUAGAUUGUUACAUUCGCUGAUCAUUUCAUAUCUUCAUAUUAAAAAUCUUGGCGACCGUAGCAGAGUGUGUAGCAGCUUUCCAAAAGAGCUGACACACACACAAAAAUACAUUUUCCUAGACCAUUGCUUACACAAAGAAUGUCCCUAAGAAAUAGGGGAGUAGGAAAACACCUUCCCAUCUGUGCCUUGAUACCUUAAAUCAACAGCCCAGUUCUGGAUAACCUGUUAUUUACUCCAUCAACUUGAAACAUCUUUCACGUGGAGAUCCAUUUUCCGCGACUUUGGAUCUGAGUUGUGGGGUAGGAUUGUGUACAUUGUAAUCACUGGAACACUCCUCUGUUGGGGAUAUUUUGAUGCAAGGGCGGGAAUUUUAUUUUCUUCUGUGGAAAACAUGUUUUGAGCGGAGGAGUGGAGGUUGGUUGCACGAAGUAUGAGCCCCUGUUGAGAAAGGUUAUGUUCAACUUCAGCUGAAAAAGCGAACCAGAGCCUCAUCCCUGGCCUGUGCCUUGAAAGGGAAGGGGUUGGAGCCUUGCCUCUGGGGUGUGGGUGAGACCCGUCGCUCUACUGAGGAAGUGGCAUUUAGCCCCCUUCCCCCACCGACUACGGCGUGGCUGGCUGGCAAGGCCAGCCGCCGGGAGCCUCCGCUGCGGCGCUAUGGCAACCGCGGAGCCCCGCGUCGUGGCCGCCCCAGCCCCCCUUCCCGUAGGUGGUGGAAAACCACUUUCCUGGGCUCUAUGCUGCCCUUUCCCCGCUCCCACUAGGACUCAGACUUGACGGUGCAUCCUCCUACCAACGGCUGCGGAUGGGGGAGCAGCUUAGGGUGCUGACCCUUGCCAAGCCCCUAGCCAUCCCCAUCCAUCUUCCGGGUGCUCAAUCUCUCGUCAAUUUCUCUCUCCCAAGCGCGCGCGGGGCACGCACCCGCGCGCGCACACACACACACACGGGCCAAGUGCGCUCCUGCGAAGCAAGUGACACACUUUGAGACAAUGACUCCUAUCUGGUCCCCAGAAAAACUUCCUGCAGUCGCGCCCAGAGUGCCUGUAUCCAGGCGUCCCUCCCACCCUGCUUGGCCUUGGGGGCCUGCCUGGCCGAGGCCGCUUAGCAAACACCUCCAGUGAAAGUCUCCACAGCGCCGACCCCAGGGCGCCUUCCCGAAGCUUUAAGGGGCAGGGACACGACCUGAGGGUCAGCUAAGAGUCGGCUCCUCGCCGUGGGUGAUGGGUCGUGGUUGUUUCCCCCGCCUCCAAUCCUGGCGCGGCCAGGCUCGGCUUCUUCAGAGCGACCGCCCAGCAGACGCGCUGUCCGGGAACACGGUGGAUCCUGGACGGUUGAGAGUCAGGUCCCCCGCCCCAAGUCGAUCCAAUGACCCUGGCCGGCGUUUCCCAGUGUGGAGCUUGCGCCGCCCCCGCGGCCCGCGCUCCCGCCCCGCAGCCGCCUGCCGCGGUAUGUAAAUGAGGCACCUUUGUUCCCCCGCAGCUGCGGCCGGACCAGGCUAGCUGCUGGAGAGGGCGAAGGCGGCAUCCUUCCGUCCGCGGGGGCGUGGGCCACAAUGCCACGGUCUCCCAGCACGACAGUGGCUCGGAGGUACUGCAACAUUUCUUUUGUUACUUUAGCCACCCUUCUCUUCCGGGUUCCCUCGACCUCUGCUCUUGGAAACGUGUGGGGAGGAGUGGGACGCCAGCACUGGACCGGGCGCCACGCAGGGCUAGCAAUCCCUUGGCUCGGAGUUGGGGAGGGCUUUGGCAUUUUCUUUAAGAAAUCACUUCGCAGGCCACCACCUGUUUACUAUCGAUCUUCAAGGUCAGGUGUUCCAGAUUGCUUAUGCGAAAUGGCAUUAAGAACUGCCAGGAGCAGAAAAGACUUGAACCCAAACUUUCUCCAAACUCGUGGGCGGCUUCUCCAAGCUAGUCUUUAAAGAGGAGUUGAGCUUGUGGGCCACUUUUUCCCUUCAGAUGUUUCCACCUAGCUUUUCUCCUAGGCGUGCCAGUAGAAUAACUUUCUUAGAUGGCUUCGCAGGCGAGGUCUCCCAAAGGCACUCAGACGUCCUUGGCACCGCACAUAGCCACCUUCCUGCACACAUGUCAAAGGUGAAGGCCACCAGCUCAAGGACAGUUCAGAUAUAAAACUCAGAGAGAAGGAACGGAAAGGGUUCCUAUGGAAAUUCCCUCUAUUUGCCGAAUAGCCCAUGUGCUCCCAGAUGCAAUAAUCAGUAGCAGAUGUACUACAACAUCGAGGAGUGCUAGUGAAUUGGCUGGGCUUAGAAGCUGCCACUCUCUACAAGUUCUUUGAAAGAGAUUUUUCUUCCCUUGGGAGGUGAGGUGGGCGGGAGGGAGGAGUGGCCUUACAUCUGGAAGCUGGAAAACUGGCUCCCAGGGAGGCGGGGAUGGGGGAGAAAUAGCGGCUACUGUCUGCAACAGACUGCAACAGAUAAAGCCCGAACACCUGCUUAGCUGAGCUCUGGAAAGCAGGGGAGGGAAAUCUUUCCAAGAAUUGCCAACACAAGGGCCACCCAAAA